This 708-nucleotide long non-coding RNA is filed under the name Homo sapiens (human). RNAcentral describes it as "HSALNT0366225". Lineage: Eukaryota; Metazoa; Chordata; Mammalia; Primates; Hominidae. The record is from RNAcentral.
GAGGGAGUAACAUCUCCAUGACAGCAAGGUGCAAGCGGAGAUAAGACAACCACCUGGGUCAGGAACUUGUAGAGAGGAUUCCUACAUGGAGUGGGAGACUGAAAUAAUAACCUCAAAGAUGCCUUCCAAUCAGAAGAUUUGGUGAUUCUUUCUGAGUUAUCAAACUGCCUUCCUUUGACCUUGCUCACAUGUAGAAAUCCAAGUCAGCGCAGCUUAACUUGGACUCACCACCUAUCAAGUGCUCGACAGCCACGUGUGCAGUGGUUCCUACGUGGAGCAGCAUACAUCCAGAGAUGCAAAUAUUAAUGAGGACAGUGCUAGUAACAGAGUUGCUGAGCAAUCUAUGUCCCCUUGUAAGAACCAGUGCCCCAGGGGAAGAAACAGAACUCCACAAGGUAGCAGUGUGGGUGUAGUACCCGCAUGUGCCCAUGUUAUGGGAAUGUAGAUGGGGAGUGACCACCGCCAACAGAAGUGUGGCCAUCUUGCCCGAGAUGCCUGAGGACCUCCUAUUUUUAGAUGCUGCUGCCCAAGGCCUGUAUUUCAUGCUAUGGCUUUUGUCAUUUGAAUUAUCAGUAGCUGUCUCGGAGCUAUUACGCUUCACUGGGCCCUGGAGGAUAUUGUCUUAUACAGUCCACUGGGUUUUGGAUAUGCAGUCUGUGCCUUUCAUUGCCUUCCUGGAAAAUAAUAACUAAACUCUUCCUCACCAGG